RNAcentral lists this ribosomal RNA (253 nucleotides) under uncultured bacterium. RNAcentral describes it as "partial 16S ribosomal RNA". It matches the Rfam family "Bacterial small subunit ribosomal RNA", at positions 524 to 776 of the family's 1533-position model. The record is from RNAcentral.
UACAGAGGGGGCAAGCGUUGUUCGGAAUUACUGGGCGUAAAGGGCGCGUAGGCGGCCUGCUAAGUCGGACGUGAAAUCCCCGGGCUCAACCCGGGAGCUGCGUCCGAUACUGGUUGGCUUGAAUCCGGGAGAGGGAUGCGGAAUUCCAGGUGUAGCGGUGAAAUGCGUAGAUAUCUGGAGGAACACCGGUGGCGAAGGCGGCAUCCUGGACCGGCAUUGACGCUGAGGCGCGAAAGCCAGGGGAGCAAACGGG